Molecule: ribosomal RNA, 615 nt
Filed under: Triticum aestivum (bread wheat)
Lineage: Eukaryota; Viridiplantae; Streptophyta; Magnoliopsida; Poales; Poaceae
Description: partial small subunit ribosomal RNA
Source: RNAcentral
AUGCAUUGGCUUUCAUGGAAGAAACUAGCCACCCCGAAAGAAGCAGGGGGGAUGGGGUUUAGGGAUCUCGAGGCUUUUAAUCUCGCGCUGUUGGGGAAACGCGGCUGGAGGUUCAUGUUACACCCGGAGAGUUUAUGUUCUCGAGUUAUGAAAUCGAGAUACUUCCCAGACUCAGACUUCAUGACUGCUACAAUCCCGAAGACAGAGUCACCUAUCUGGAGGGCGAUUGUUGCAAGCCGCAAGGCGUUGAAGCUUGGGUUGAUCAAGAGGGUGGGAGAUGGUUCCACGAUCUCCAUCUGGGAGGAUAAGUGGAUCCCGGACUCCAUUUUGAUGUCUCCUAUGGUAAAACCCGAUAACACACCUCUUGUUUUAGUGAAUGAGCUAAUUGACCAGGUUAAUUGGACAUGGCAACAUGAGCUUGUUCAUGCAACCUUCCUAGCACCGGAUGCCCAAGCAAUCUUAAAUAUCCCGUUGCGCAAUGGUGGAGGAGAGGAUUUUUUAGCGUGGGCCUUUGAAUCCACUGGAAUCUACACUAUCAAAUCAGCAUACCGUACUCUUGUGACUCACAAAGAGCGACUAGCUCGAGAGGAAGGGAUGGAUAUGGGUACCUCAUAG